AGCAUAUCAAUAAGCGGAGGAAAAGAAACCAACCGGGAUUGCCCCCAGUAACGGCGAGUGAAGCGGCAACAGCUCAAAUUUGAAAUCUGGAGUCUUUGUUGGCUUCCGAGUUGUAAUUUGCAGAGGGAGCCUCGGAGGGCUGGUCGGUCCAAGUGCCUUGGAACAGGAUACCGCAGAGGGUGAGAGUCCCGUAUCCGGCCGACGCAGUGCUCCGUGUGAGGCCUCUUCGACGAGUCGAGUUGUUUGGGAAUGCAGCUCUAAGUGGGUGGUAAAUUCCAUCUAAAGCUAAAUACUGGCCAGAGACCGAUAGCGAACAAGUAGAGUGAUCGAAAGAUGAAAAGCACUUUGAAAAGAGAGUUAAACAGUACGUGAAAUUGUUGAAAGGGAAGCGCAUGGGGGCAGACUUGGACGCGGGGUUCAGGGUCUCUUUUUUGGAGGCGUGUACUUCCCCGCGGACAGGCCAGCAUCGGUUCUGGGGGCCGGACAAAGGCGACGGGAACGUGGCUCUCUUCGGGGAGUGUUAUAGCCCGACGUGCAAUGCGGCCACCUGGGACCGAGGACCGCGCUUCGGCAAGGAUGCUGGCGUAAUGGCCUCAUGCGGCCCGUCUUGAAACACGGACCAAGGAGUCUAACAUCUAUGCGAGUGUUUGGGUGGCAAGCCCGGACGCGCAAUGAAAGUGAACGGAGGUGGGAGCCCUUUCCCGCGUGGAGGGGGUGCAGCAUCGACCGAUCCGGACGUUUUCUGAAGGAUUUGAGUAAGAGCAUAGCUGUUGGGACCCGAAAGAUGGUGAACUAUGCGUGAAUAGGGUGAAGCCAGAGGAAACUCUGGUGGAGGCUCGCAGCGGUUCUGACGUGCAAAUCGAUCGUCAAAUUUGCGUAUAGGGGCGAAAGACUAAUCGAACCAUCUAGUAGCUGGGUUCUGCG
This 924-nucleotide ribosomal RNA is filed under the name Scolecobasidium constrictum. Its description in RNAcentral is "partial large subunit ribosomal RNA". It matches the Rfam family "Eukaryotic large subunit ribosomal RNA", at positions 37 to 962 of the family's 3401-position model. Lineage: Eukaryota; Fungi; Ascomycota; Dothideomycetes; Venturiales; Sympoventuriaceae. The record is from RNAcentral.